AGAGUUUGAUCAUGGCUCAGGAUGAACGCUAGCGGCAGGCUUAAUACAUGCAAGUCGUGGGGCAGCGCAGUGUAGCAAUACAUGGGCGGCGACCGGCAAACGGGUGCGGAACACGUACGCAACCUUCCUUUAAGUGGGGGAUAGCCCAGGGAAACUUGGAUUAAUACCCCGUAAUAUUACGGAGUGGCAUCACUUUUUAAUUAUAGCAGCAAUGCGCUUGAAGAUGGGCGUGCGCCUGAUUAGGUAGUUGGCGGGGUAACGGCCCACCAAGCCUUCGAUCAGUAACUGGUGUGAGAGCACGACCAGUCACACGGGCACUGAGACACGGGCCCGACUCCUACGGGAGGCAGCAGUAAGGAAUAUUGGUCAAUGGACGAAAGUCUGAACCAGCCAUGCCGCGUGGAGGAUGAAGGUCCUCUGGAUUGUAAACUUCUUUUAUUUGGGAAGAAACCCACGAUUUCUAUUGUGGUUGACGGUACCAGAUGAAUAAGCACCGGCUAACUCCGUGCCAGCAGCCGCGGUAAUACGGAGGGUGCAAGCGUUAUCCGGAUUCACUGGGUUUAAAGGGUGCGUAGGCGGGCAGGUAAGUCAGUGGUGAAAUCCCCGAGCUUAACUUGGGAACUGCCGUUGAUACUAUCUGUCUUGAAUACUAUGGAGGUAAGCGGAAUAUGUCAUGUAGCGGUGAAAUGCUUAGAUAUGACAUAGAACACCAAUUGCGAAGGCAGCUUGCUACACAGUUAUUGACGCUGAGGCACGAAAGCGUGGGGAUCAAACAGGAUUAGAUACCCUAGUAGUCC
RNAcentral lists this ribosomal RNA (797 nucleotides) under uncultured bacterium. Its description in RNAcentral is "bacterial SSU rRNA". It matches the Rfam family "Bacterial small subunit ribosomal RNA", at positions 8 to 796 of the family's 1533-position model. The record is from RNAcentral.